GUGAGGAAUAUUGCGCAAUGGACGGAAGUCUGACGCAGCAACGCCGCGUGGGCGAAGAAGGCCUUCGGGUCGUAAAGCCCUUUUCUGAGGGACGAGGCAGGACGGUACCUCAGGAAUCAGUCUCGGCUAACUACGUGCCAGCAGCCGCGGUAAAACGUAGGAGGCAAGCGUUAUCCGGAUUUAUUGGGCGUAAAGCGCAUGCAGGUGGUUCCGCAAGUCGGGUGUGAAAGCUCCUGGCUUGACUGGGAGAGGUCGUUCGAAACUGCGGGACUGGAGGUCGGAAGAGGGAAGCGGAAUUCCCGGUGUAGUGGUGGAAUGCGUAGAUAUCGGGAGGAACACCAGUGGCGAAAGCGGCUUCCUGGUCCGCACCUGACACUCAGAUGCGAAAGCGUGGGGAGCGAACGGGAUUAGAAACCCCGGUAGUCC
Molecule: ribosomal RNA, 426 nt
Filed under: uncultured bacterium
Lineage: Bacteria
Description: partial 16S ribosomal RNA
Rfam family: Bacterial small subunit ribosomal RNA
Source: RNAcentral